CUAUGUAGAUGAGGCAGCGCAGGGGCUGCUGCUUUGCCACGAAAGAGUUCCCGUGCCGUGGGAGCAAGUCUGGGACCGCUGGUCGGACCGGAGAGUCGCAGCUGUGUGUUAGGGCUAGGAUGGCUCCGGGAUGCGCGUGACGCAAGUGACCUUGCGUGUAAAGGGAUACAUGAUCCCUUAAUUCAGGCUCAGGCUGAAGAACUGACCCACUUACGACAGAAGACACAGGAAGGGAGAGGUGUCUGCUACCUUUUUACCCAGCAUGUGAAGAACACAGUCAAGUCUUUUGAGGGCCUUCUCAGGAACACUGGCAUUGCCUACUACCAGAGACAGAGAUUCUGUGAGCAAAUGGUACAAGGAAGCCAGCUGACAGAGAUCCUUGUCAGAAAACUUGUCACAGGUAAGUUGGCUACAGGCUCUGAAGACCCUUAGCUCCUCCCAAGUGUCCCAAAGUGGGGAGAAAAAAUGCAAACUUAUCUCCAUUGUAGAUUUUAUUUUAGUUUUGACUAUGGUCCUUAAUCUGCAUUCUAUUGUUUUCUCUUUAGAGCACUCAGGUAAUCACUUUUCAUAUUCUUUCAAGAAUUCUAAGUUUUGUUUUUUAUUUUGAGACAGAAUCUUGCUCUCUUACCCAAGCUGGAGUGCAGUGACACGGUCUUGGCUGACUGCAAUCUGUGCCUCCUGGGCUCAAGCAAUCUUCCCACCUCAGCCUCCCAAGUAGCUGGGACUACAGGUGUGUGCCACCACACCUGGCUAAUGUUUGUAUUUUUUGUAGAGAUAGGGUUUCUCCAUGUUGUCCAGGCUUGUCUUGAACUACUGAGCUGAAGUAAUCCACCUGCUUUGGACUCCCAAAGUGCUGGGAUUACAGAUAUGAGCCACUGUGCCUGGCCUGAGAGUUCUUAGUUUCAAUCAGUAAGAGAGGUAGAGUAUAGUGGAUUACUUCAUCUUGAUGAGCAUAAGAACUCACCUUCAUUUCUGGAAGAUGUUUUCACUGGAUGUAGGAUUCUAGUUGACAGUUUUUGUUUUAAAAAAGUGUUUGAAAAGUGAUAUUCCGCUGUCUUCUGGCUUACACUGUUCCAACAAGAAGUCUGCCAUAAUUCUUAUUUCUGUUUCUCUGUACAUAAUAUGUC
RNAcentral lists this long non-coding RNA (1127 nucleotides) under Homo sapiens (human). RNAcentral's name for it is "non-protein coding lnc-NUDT4B-1:2". Lineage: Eukaryota; Metazoa; Chordata; Mammalia; Primates; Hominidae. The record is from RNAcentral.